Molecule: long non-coding RNA, 273 nt
Filed under: Chinchilla lanigera (long-tailed chinchilla)
Lineage: Eukaryota; Metazoa; Chordata; Mammalia; Rodentia; Chinchillidae
Description: lncRNA (ENSCLAG00000024049.1)
Source: RNAcentral
GGCCACUGUGGCCUUCUUGCCCUUAGCCUGGGGACAAGAAGGGCAGUGCAAAGAGGAAGACAGAGCCAGGACACAGUGGGCUAAUCAGGACUGCAGAACAGUGCCCAGCAACAGUGCGGGAGCCAGCUCCCAGGAGACUCCAGCGAGCAGCUGCUAUCAAAUCAUCCUCCACUUCCAUUGUCAGACACUGAUUGGGAAUUUCACAAGAGAGAACUAGUUCGCUUGCUAACCUCAAAAACACCUGAAAAGCUCCCCAUAACUGCAGGACCAAAG